This 72-nucleotide transfer RNA is filed under the name Camelus dromedarius (Arabian camel). It matches the Rfam family "tRNA". From Rfam's summary of the family: Transfer RNA (tRNA) molecules are approximately 80 nucleotides in length. Their secondary structure includes four short double-helical elements and three loops (D, anti-codon, and T loops). Further hydrogen bonds mediate the characteristic L-shaped molecular structure. tRNAs have two regions of fundamental functional importance: the anti-codon, which is responsible for specific mRNA codon recognition, and the 3' end, to which the tRNAs corresponding amino acid is attached (by aminoacyl-tRNA synthetases). tRNAs cope with the degeneracy of the genetic code in two manners: having more than one tRNA (with a specific anti-codon) for a particular amino acid; and 'wobble' base-pairing, i.e. permitting non-standard base-pairing at the 3rd anti-codon position. Lineage: Eukaryota; Metazoa; Chordata; Mammalia; Artiodactyla; Camelidae. RNAcentral also lists the same sequence under 1 other name. The record is from Rfam by way of RNAcentral.
AGGGAUAUAGCUCAGUGGUAGAGCACAUGCUUAGCAUGCACGAGGUCCUGGGUUCAAUCCCCAGUACCUCCA